Molecule: ribosomal RNA, 1330 nt
Filed under: metagenome
Description: bacterial LSU rRNA
Rfam family: Bacterial large subunit ribosomal RNA
Source: RNAcentral
AAAUAAGUAGGGAAGCACGUGAGCUGACUGUCAAGAAAAGCCGCUAUUGUUUGCAGGAUACCCGUACCGUAAACCGACACAGGUGGAUGAGGAGAGAAUCCUAAGGCCGACGGGAGAAGCAUUGUUAAGGAACUCGGCAAAAUGACUCCGUAACUUCGGGAGAAGGAGUGCCAGUAAGAUGGCCGCAGAGAAUUGGCCCAAGCAACUGUUUAGCAAAAACACAGGUCUAUGCAGAACCGAAAGGUGAGGUAUAUGGGCUGACGCCUGCCCGGUGCUGGAAGGUUAAGGGGAGAGGUUAGCGCAAGCGAAGCUUUGAACUUAAGCCCCAGUAAACGGCGGCCGUAACUAUAACGGUCCUAAGGUAGCGAAAUUCCUUGUCGGGUAAGUUCCGACCCGCACGAAAGGCGUAAUGAUUUGGGCACUGUCUCAACAAUGCACCCGGUGAAAUUGAAAUACCAGUGAAGAUGCUGGUUACCUGCGCCAGGACGGAAAGACCCCAUGGAGCUUUACUCCAGCUUGAUACUGGGAUUCGGUAUUGCAUGUACAGGAUAGGUGGGAGGCUAGGAAAUGGUAACGCCAGUUGCCAUGGAGCCAAUGUUGGGAUACCACCCUUGCAGUACUGGGUUUCUAACCAGCAGCCGUGAUCCGGCUGGGGGACAAUGUCAGGUGGGGAGUUUGACUGGGGCGGUCGCCUCCGAAAGGGUAUCGGAGGCGCUCAAAGGUUCCCUCAGAAUGGCUGGAAACCAUUCGAAGAGUGCAAAGGCAGAAGGGAGCUUGACUGCGACACCGACGGGUGGAGCAGGUACGAAAGUAGGACUUAGUGAUCCGGUGGUAUAAAGUGGGAUUGCCAUCGCUCAACGGAUAAAAGCUACCCUGGGAUAACAGGCUUAUCACUCCCAAGAGUUCACAUCGACGGAGUGGUUUGGCACCUCGAUGUCGGCUCAUCGCAUCCUGGGGCUGAAGUAGGUCCCAAGGGUUGGGCUGUUCGCCCAUUAAAGCGGUACGCGAGCUGGGUUCAGAACGUCGUGAGACAGUUCGGUCCCUAUCCGGCGUGGGCGUAAGAUAUUUGAGAGGAGCUGUCCUUAGUACGAGAGGACCGGGAUGGACUGGCCGCUGGUGUAUCUGUUGUCUUACCAAAGGCAUAGCAGAGUAGCCAAGCCGGGAAGGGAUAAACGCUGAAGGCAUCUAAGCGUGAAGCCCCCCUCAAGAUGAGAUAUCUCAUAACGUCAAGUUAGUAAGACCCCUUGAAGACGACGAGGUAGAUAGGGCAGAGGUGGAAGUGUGGUAACACAUGGAGCUGACUGUUACUAAUAGGUCGAGGGCAUAACCG